AUGCGGUCAUAUCACGCUAUAAUGUCGGUUCACGUACAAUCACCGAAGUUAAGCAAUCUCGAGCCUGGUGAAUACUUUGAUGGGUGACCGCUUGCGAAUACCAAGUGUUGGA
This is a non-coding RNA of Acanthosepion pharaonis, 112 nucleotides long. The record is from the annotation of a GenBank genome assembly. NCBI's taxonomy places the organism in Eukaryota, Metazoa, Mollusca, Cephalopoda, Sepiida, Sepiidae.